CUUUCUUGGUGAAGGAAAAAAGAUGUGGGAAUUUGUGGUGCAAACAUGAGUCCCCCCAAAGAUCAGUCCAAAAAAACACAGUCUUGCCAUUCCCCACCUUACAUCUUGCCAUAGAUUUAUAGGUAUCAAUGAGUUUAAGAUGGGUUUUCCACCAGAAGGAUCCUUCAACUUUAAUUCCAGGGAGUUUGUCUUCAGUAUAGUAGGUAUCUCUUACAAGGUGUACCCAAGGAAUAUCAGAGUUAUUGUAGAAUUUGUCCAGAUUCUUGAGAAGAAGAGCUUUAUUUUGAAUAUCAAGAUUAAGAACUCCCAAACCACCUUGUUCCUUAGGUCUGCAAAUUUUCUUCCAGGAGACUAGUGCAUUUCCUUUUGCUUGCACAUCUGCAGUCUUUUUCCUCCAUAGGCAAUGCCUCAUAUAUUUAAUCACUUGAUCUUUGAUUGUGACAGGGACAUCCAGACAACACAUGAAAAAGAUGGGUAAUGAUGCAAGAACAGACUUGACCAUUUGUAAUUUUCCUCCAUAAUUCAGGAAAUCUGCAAUCCCACCAAGUCUAGUCUGCACUCUUUGUACAAUUGGCAGGAAAUGCUCCAGGGAUGGUUUUGUAAUACUCAGUGGUAGACCCAAAUAAGUGAAAGGUAGGGAUCCCACUUUACAAUUUAGAGUGGCAGCAAAAUGGGCCAGUCUGUCAGGGGACAUGUUGAUUGGCAUCAUACUAGAUUUCUGAUAAUUUACUUUGAGUCCAGUUGAUAUUGCAAAGGAUUGCAAGAUUGAUUUCAAGCAAAGCAAUUGUGUAGCAUCUGCCUUCAUGACAAGAAGUGUAUCAUCAGCAUACUGAAUUACAGGGAAAUCUUGGCAUGGUGUGCAGGGAAUUGGUCUAGAAAGGAGAUUGAGGGACAUAGCUUUGUUUAGCACAGACUGUAGGAAAUCAGCUGCAAGGACAAAAAGCAAAGGUGAUAGAGGAUCUCCCUGCCUCACACCCCUUCUGCAGUAAAAUUUCUUUCCAGGAACACCAUUUAGCAUGACAGCAGAUGUCCCAGAACUCAGAAUCAUAGCAAUCCAGCUGAUCCACUUAUCUCCAAAACCUUUAGCCUUAAGGAUUUUUAAGAUUGUUGAAUGCUCAAUUUUGUCAAAGGCUUUUUCAAAAUCUAGCUUUAGAAUAAGAAUCUCCUCUUUUGAAUUGUGACAUUGGAAGAGAUAUUCAAAUGCCCACCCUAGGCAAUCCUGGAUGGAUCUUUUCUUCAGGAAGCCAUAUUGAUUUUUAUGUACCAAAGUGAGAAUGAUACUUUGUAAUCUAUUGGCCAGCAGCUUGGUGAUGAUUUUAAGGACACAAUUAAGCAGAGAGAUAGGCCUAAAGUCCCCAGGUGUACUUGGAUUAUCAACUUUUGGAACCAGAGUAAUAAAGGAAGAAUUAAUACUUUCAAGGUUUAGCUUCCCAGCAUGAAAAUCUCUUAUCAGUUGUUUGACAUCAGGAGCAAUAAUAGACCAACAGAGUUUGACAAAUUCAUUAUUGAAGCCAUCAGGCCCAGGUGAUUUAUCAUUUGGAAGUAGCUUGACCACAUCUUCUAUUUCCUUAUCAGAGAAAGGAGCUUGCAGCAUCAAAUUCAUAUCUUCAGAGAUGUUGGAUUCAAGAAUUGUGUCAAGAUUAUAUUGCAUCUCUGGGUGAUCUGACUGCCCCAUUCUAUCUUUAAAAGCUUUCCAUAAAAUAGCAGCUUUUCCUUCAUGAUCAGAGACUUCAACUUGGUCUGAAUUCUGGAGCAUUGCAAUGUAAUUAUUCCUGUAAUUGAUAGUGGCCUUUGUAUGGAAGAACCUAGUGUUUGCAUCACCCAAUUUGACCCAUUUAAUUUUCCCUCUUUGUUUCCAAUAAGAGUUUUGGUUUUGAAGGAGAGAUAUGAGGUGUGUUUUGAGAGUGUCUCUCAGAUCCCAUUCAGAUAAUGAUAAAGUUCUAAAUUCUUCCAGCUGAUCAAUAAAUGAAAUGACUUCAUUAACUUUCUCAAUAAGAUGUUUUAAGCAGGGUAGAUUUUUUGCCCAAAGCUUGAGACUUCUUCUUAAGUUUUUGAAUUUUGCAUUUAUCAUUUUGGCACUGUCUGUAUGGCCCACAGGAAUGUUCCAGGCAUUUUGGACAAUUUGCUUGAAAUCACUGUGUUGCAUCCAAUGAUUUUCAAUCCUGAAAACUUUUGCCUUGGGAAUCUUUGUAUUGAGAACAACCACACAGGGCACAUGGUCAGAGGUGGGCCUCACAAGGGGAUAGGCAAAAGAGGCUGGGUAAGAAAUAGUCCAUGAGGGUGAGGUAAAAACCCAGUCCAGUUUUUCAAGAAGAGGAUCUUUUUGCAUGUUACUCCAAGUAAAUUUCCUCCCUUUUAAGGGUAACUCAAUAAUACCCAAAUUACUAAUAGCUUCAUUGAACAAAAGCAUAUCAUUUAAGUCCCCACCAGGUUUGUUUCUAUCUGAGGGACUUCUGAUGAAGUUAAAGUCACCCAUAAUGAGCCAAUCAGUAUCUUGGGGCAUGUCAAUGUUGGCAAACCAGUCUAAAAAAAUAGCUUUCUUAUCUGCUUGGCAUGGCCCAUAUAUAUUUGUAAGAAUCCAAGAAUCAUUGGAAAGGUUGCUUUUGAAAUUAACAGAGAUAGAGAACUCAUUGUGAAAAGCUAAGUCCCCACUAAAAAGAGAUCCAUUCCAAAUAAUGAUCAAGCCACCAGAGGCCCCCACUGAAGGAACAAAUUCAAAUUUAUUAAAUUUCUUAGGACAGAAUUUCCUGAUGUAUGCCAAGUCAAAGGACUCUCUUUUAGUUUCUUGGAGACAGAUAAUAUCACAUCCAGACUCCUCAAUUUUGCUAGAGAGGGCCAACCACUUCUUUUCAGAAUUAAUACCUCUCAGGUUCCAGUUCAUAAUUUUCCAAGAUUUGCAAUUAUCCAUAGAUAACAAAAGGAUUUUUGUUUAACCAACCCACAGCAAAACAUACUGUAGGCAUCCAACAGAAAAGGAUUAAAGUCAUUACACCACAGAUAGCAAUGCCACCUAACAUGUUCACAUAUAUUUGGUACAUACUGACAAAAGCAGGGUUCAACAGGUCCAUAAGGUGCAAAGGAAGCAACCAUGCCCCAAAAACAAAAGCAAAACAGGAGCUCAUCAUUGGAGACUACUUGGGGGACUUCUUUUUGGCCAACUGUUCAAUGGCAGCAGGCUUAUUUCUCCCUUUCUUUUCAAUUGGCUUGAUCUUUGAGCUGGAGGAGGUAUUGCUUGACUUCUUCUGGCCAAUUACUCCUGGUGGCACCAUGGUUUUGCUAUCUCCAUCUGAAGCCUUGUUUUUCUUCAGAAUUUUCUUUUCUACAGUUUCUUCAGACACCUUGCAAAAGGAUAUUGCCAAGUUCUUAACCACCUUAGUAUUAAUCAUAGGUGGAGCAGCAUUGCAAGAGAGGCAAUGUUUAUCUGAACAGUUGGCAUGGUUUUUAUAUCCAUCAUUUAGUAACACAAGUCUGGGACUUCUCCUUACCUCAGACUCUACCAGAGCACCCUUGCCUUCCCUUCUUUUCCUUUUAGGGGUAGAUGGCAAAACUUCCUUGGAUGUAGGAGGAGAGAGUCCUUCCUCCUGAACAGACAUGGAGAUGCAAACAGGGGCCUUAGAAGAAGUGCAAGAAUCUGGGAUAACAAAUUUUAUAGAAUCCUCUGUGCUAAUAGGUUCUUUAAGAAUCUCCCAAAGUUGUGAAGAAAGAAAGUGUUUUGUCCAAUCAAAUUUCUCUGGAGUCAAGAGCAUAAGGGUAACAAAAUUAAACCAACUCACAGGAAUAUCCACAAUAGCCUUGUUUGAUUUCCCAUCAGCAUGCAGGUGAGGUGCAAAGAACUGCUCCCAAAGAAGUAACCCUGUUGUUGACAUUUUCCUGGUCAGAUCAUGUUCCUCAGGUAUGGGGAGGAAAUGUGUUUGAACUCUUCCUAGAGUCAACUGCAAAUGGGCUUCAUUAGGAGGGACCAGCUGCACAUUAUCUGGUAGGAAGAGGCUGUCCUCUAAGAGUUGUGCUCCCUGUGAUUCAGAAGUCCCCAAGGAAGUGUCAUUGUUUUCAGGCUGAGCAAAGUUCUCUUCAGUUUCUUCCUCAACAGGGACCUUGAAAAGAAGUACCUUCAGAGCUAGAGGAGGAUAUCUGCACAUAACUUGUUGCAUCAAGAAUAGGAGGCCCAUGGUCUUCAUCACCCAUAUCAACUUCCUCUGGCAGUGCAGGUGGCUGUGGUGGACCAGGUUGCACUAGAGGAACAGGCAGAGCAUGCCCUGGCAUGGGAUGUGGGUCCACCCCUUCAUCAGGCACAGGGUCUUCAUCUGGUGGCCCACCACCAAGGAGGUUUUGUUGCAGCACCUCAACAAGAAAGGUCCAGGAUUGUGCUUCUGGUCUUGAACUUUCAGUCAUUCUGAUACUCCUAGGGAUAUCCUGCAGGUCAGUAACCCUCACCUUCACAAGCACUCUUCCUUUUCUGUUUGGGUCUCUUUCCCACAGCAGCAGAGAGCCAAUAUCAGAGAAACAAGCAUUCAAAUCUUCAGUUUUCAUGUGAUCUAGAGGGGGUCCAACUAGCAGUAACCAGACAUCUCUAUUGAAAGUAACCCCUCUCCAGUUAAUUCCCUCAUCAUGGUUAACAAAAGAAAUAGUAACAUCACCAAACUGAUUUGGGCUAGAAGAGAUCAAUCUAUCCUUGUCACUGACAUUCCUGAACUGGACGUAUGCAGCCCCAAAAGGGCAUGAUUGCAAUGCAACAAAACCAACUCUAGCAACCUCAGUUAAGUAUUCUCCUAGAACAUCCCUGACAUUAUCAAAAGGCACCAAACCUUCUGGGAAAGGAUGGAUGGUGGCGAUGGCGUACUGCUCGUGCUCCUUUGGUCGGCGCGGCACCACCACCCUUUUGACCGCUAGUCUUCCAUCUAUGUGUUGAAUCUGAUAACCUUGAGGAACAAAGGGCCUGGGGUCGAUGGGGAUGUUUGCCAUUGCCGGAGUCCAAGCCUCCGAUGGCUCGGCGGUGGGGAACUGUAGCAGCAGCGGUUGCGGAGUGGACGAGGGUGGUGAAUGCGAGGAGGCAGAGACAGGAGCAGGGGAUAUUUUUUCCCCAGAGAGGAAACCCACGAAAUCGCUAAAAGAGGAAGUCUCC
Molecule: long non-coding RNA, 5119 nt
Organism: Lolium perenne
Lineage: Eukaryota; Viridiplantae; Streptophyta; Magnoliopsida; Poales; Poaceae
Source: RefSeq, a predicted model, not a curated record